RNAcentral lists this ribosomal RNA (453 nucleotides) under uncultured bacterium. Its description in RNAcentral is "bacterial SSU rRNA". It matches the Rfam family "Bacterial small subunit ribosomal RNA", at positions 341 to 786 of the family's 1533-position model. The record is from RNAcentral.
UAGGAAGGCAGCGGUGGGGAAUAUUGCACAAUGGGCGCAAGCCUGAUGCAGCCAUGCCGCGUGUAUGAAGAAGGCCUUCGGGUUGUAAAGUACUUUCAGUCGUGAGGAAGGUGUUAAGGUUAAUAACCUUAGCAAUUGACGUUAGCGACAGAAGAAGCACCGGCUAACUCCGUGCCAGCAGCCGCGGUAAUACGGAGGGUGCGAGCGUUAAUCGGAAUUACUGGGCGUAAAGGGCACGCAGGCGGUUAAUUAAGUUGGAUGUGAAAUCCCCGGGCUUAACCUGGGAAUGGCAUUCAAGACUGGUUAGCUAGAGUCUUGUAGAGGGGGUAGAAUUCCAUGUGUAGCGGUGAAAUGCGUAGAGAUGUGGAGGAAUACCGGUGGCGAAAGGCGGCCCCUGGACAAAGACUGACGCUCAUGUGCGAAAGCGUGGGGAGCAAACAGGGAUUAGAUACC